This 72-nucleotide transfer RNA is filed under the name Megasphaera vaginalis (ex Srinivasan et al. 2021). RNAcentral's name for it is "Megasphaera sp. BV3C16-1 tRNA". It matches the Rfam family "tRNA". Rfam says of the family: Transfer RNA (tRNA) molecules are approximately 80 nucleotides in length. Their secondary structure includes four short double-helical elements and three loops (D, anti-codon, and T loops). The record is from Rfam by way of RNAcentral. Lineage: Bacteria; Bacillati; Bacillota; Negativicutes; Veillonellales; Veillonellaceae.
GGCCCCUUGGUCAAGUGGUUAAGACACCGCCCUUUCACGGCGAGAACGUGGGUUCAAAUCCCGCAGGGGUCA